RNAcentral lists this ribosomal RNA (478 nucleotides) under uncultured bacterium. RNAcentral's name for it is "partial 16S ribosomal RNA". It matches the Rfam family "Bacterial small subunit ribosomal RNA", at positions 28 to 523 of the family's 1533-position model. The record is from RNAcentral.
GACGAACGCUGGCGGCGUGCUUAACACAUGCAAGUCGAACGGAAAGGCCCUUCGGGGUGCUCGAGUGGCGAACGGGUGAGUAACACGUGGGUGAUCUGCCCUGCACUUUGGGAUAAGCCUGGGAAACUGGGUCUAAUACCGAAUAGGACUCCGGACUGCAUGGUCUGGGGUGGAAAGCUUUUGCGGUGUGGGAUGGGCCCGCGGCCUAUCAGCUUGUUGGUGGGGUGAUGGCCUACCAAGGCGACGACGGGUAGCCGGCCUGAGAGGGUGACCGGCCACACUGGGACUGAGAUACGGCCCAGACUCCUACGGGAGGCAGCAGUGGGGAAUAUUGCACAAUGGGCGCAAGCCUGAUGCAGCGACGCCGCGUGAGGGAUGACGGCCUUCGGGUUGUAAACCUCUUUCGGUAGGGACGAAGCGCAAGUGACGGUACCUACAGAAGAAGGACCGGCCAACUACGUGCCAGCCGCCGCGGUAA